ACAGUACAAACCAGAUUUUCAUCGUGUUAACUGAGCCGUGGACCUUCAUAUUGGUCAGUGUAAGGUGAGUAUGUUAAGUUACUCCAAAAUCUGUUUAAUAUGUAACGUUAUCAUCUUUUAUAAUUGUGAAUACCAGAACGGUACGUUUUAUAUUGGAUUACGUUACAUGAAAUAGAUUUAUAAGAUUUUUAAUUAUUUUGAGUGCUUCUGUACUCACUUCUAAGAUGUUGUUUUAAUUAACUGUAAUCAACUAUCUGUAGUAUAAACAACGCCUUAAACAGUUUCGCGCUCAAAAAUUAUUUGAACUUUGUAAGCCAGUCAUGGGACGUUAACGCUUUUCAUAUUGAAAAUGUAAUACUCCUUGGCAAAAUCUUCUUCUUCUUCUUUGUGCUUAUUUGGCGGUUCGCAUUCUUAAACAGUGGCAAAAUAAUUCCCUUUCAAACAUUUCUUCCUGUCGUUAGAAAUUUAAUUAAUUAAUAAAAAAAAAAGAUAUAUAUGACGUCAGAAGAUGAACGUCUGUUUUCAGCCAUCGCCAUUUUCUCACGUUUACCCUUCCAUGUGCUUGCUCCAAUCUUGAGUUUUUCCCUCGAUUGUCAACGGCGUUUAUCUGUUAAGUUAGUCUUUUAGAGUUAGCAGAAACCUGCUUUUAAAUGUAUUAACUGAAUCUUCGAGCUUCAUCCUGACCAGUUUUGGAUUGAAGCAGAGUUCACUCGCUUAACAUCUAAGGACCUCAUGAAGUCUUUUCUCUCAGGGUUGGAUCAGUAUGUAACCAGGUUCCUUCAGAUGUUUAGAGCCAAGUUGAGCAGCAUUUUCAGAACUGAAAAGUCUUCUAUGCAAGAUUGACCGUGAUAAUUCCAUGUCAAUGAAAAGGGCCGUUGUUCUUCAAGGCCUUCCACAUUACCUCGGCGAGGAUCCAUCAGAUUUCUUCAAGUCAGCUGAGGAAACUGACAUUGAAGACGGUGUGAUGGUGGGAAUGGAUGUGGGCAUUCUCAUAAUGCCUGAUGGAGAUGAUGCCUUUGACUACUACGUGGUAGUGGAGGAACAAGUUGUCCUGAGUGAUGCCAAAGACCUCCCUCAUGCUGUGGCUCAACUAGUCGUACUGAUUUUUGCGCUUAACAUUGAUUAUCCCAAAAAACUACGCUACACAUUUGAGGUAAUUCAGAAGAUUUUAAUUGACCUUGGAGGUGAUCACUGUUCCUUGACGGUGCAUGGACUGAAAAAUAGACUCUUUCGCAAAACUGUUUAG
This is a long non-coding RNA of Carassius auratus (goldfish), 1246 nucleotides long. NCBI's taxonomy places the organism in Eukaryota, Metazoa, Chordata, Actinopteri, Cypriniformes, Cyprinidae. The record is from Ensembl.